Molecule: ribosomal RNA, 201 nt
Filed under: uncultured Psychrobacter sp.
Lineage: Bacteria; Pseudomonadati; Pseudomonadota; Gammaproteobacteria; Moraxellales; Moraxellaceae
Description: partial 16S ribosomal RNA
Rfam family: Bacterial small subunit ribosomal RNA
Source: RNAcentral
AUUGAACGCUGGCGGCAGGCUUAACACAUGCAAGUCGAGCGGAAACGAUGAUAGCUUGCUAUCAGGCGUCGAGCGGCGGACGGGUGAGUAAUACUUAGGAAUCUACCUAGUAGUGGGGGAUAGCACGGGGAAACUCGUAUUAAUACCGCAUACGACCUACGGGAGAAAGGGGGCAGUUUACUGCUCUCGCUAUUAGAUGAG